UACGUAGGGUGCAAGCGUUGUCCGGAAUUAUUGGGCGUAAAGAGCUUGUAGGCGGUUUGUCGCGUCUGCCGUGAAAGUCCGGGGCUCAACUCCGGAUCUGCGGUGGGUACGGGCAGACUAGAGUGAUGUAGGGGAGACUGGAAUUCCUGGUGUAGCGGUGAAAUGCGCAGAUAUCGGGAGGAACACCGAUGGCGAAGGCAGGUCUCUGGGCAUUAACUGACGCUGAGGAGCGAAAGCAUGGGGAGCGAACAGG
Molecule: ribosomal RNA, 253 nt
Filed under: uncultured bacterium
Lineage: Bacteria
Description: partial 16S ribosomal RNA
Rfam family: Bacterial small subunit ribosomal RNA
Source: RNAcentral